This 103-nucleotide microRNA precursor is filed under the name Marmota monax (woodchuck). Lineage: Eukaryota; Metazoa; Chordata; Mammalia; Rodentia; Sciuridae. The record is from RNAcentral.
AGUGAGAUUGCUGGAUCAUAUGGUGUUUCUAUUUUUAAGUUUUUGAGAAAUCUCCAUAUUGUUUUCCAUAAUGAUUGUACUAAUUUACAUUUCCACUAAUAGU